CGCACCUACCGAUUGAAUGUUUCGGUGAAGAUGCCGGACUGGAACGUGGGCGCUUCACGGCGCUUGGGGGAAAGGAAGUUAUCUAAACCUCAACAUUUAGAGGAAGGUGAAGUCGUAACAAGGUUUCCGUAGGUGAACCUGCGGAAGGAUCAUUA
This 155-nucleotide ribosomal RNA is filed under the name Fucus vesiculosus. RNAcentral's name for it is "partial 18S ribosomal RNA". It matches the Rfam family "Eukaryotic small subunit ribosomal RNA", at positions 1677 to 1831 of the family's 1831-position model. The record is from RNAcentral. Lineage: Eukaryota; Phaeophyceae; Fucales; Fucaceae.